CCUACGGGGGGCAGCAGUGGGGAAUUUUGGACAAUGGGGGAAACCCUGAUCCAGCCAUUCCGCGUGAGUGAAGAAGGCCUUCGGGUUGUAAAGCUCUUUUGUCCGGAACGAAACGGUCGUGGUGAAUAUCCGCGACUACUGACGGUACCGGAAGAAUAAGCACCGGCUAACUACGUGCCAGCAGCCGCGGUAAUACGUAGGGUGCGAGCGUUAAUCGGAAUUACUGGGGGGGUUGCGUGCGCCGGCGGUGAAAUCCCCGGGCUUAACCUGGGAAUGGCAUUUGGGACUGCAAGGCUUGAGUAUGGCAGAGGGGGCUAGAAUUCCUGGUGUAGCAGUGAAAUGCGUAGAUAUCAGGAGGAAUACCGAUGGCGAAGGCAGGCCCCUGGGUUAAUACUGACGCUCAUGCACGAAAGCGUGGGGAGCAAACAGGAUUAGAUACCCGAGUAGUC
This 449-nucleotide ribosomal RNA is filed under the name uncultured bacterium. Its description in RNAcentral is "partial 16S ribosomal RNA". It matches the Rfam family "Bacterial small subunit ribosomal RNA", at positions 338 to 795 of the family's 1533-position model. The record is from RNAcentral.